AGCAGCCGCGGUAAUUCCAGCUCCAAUAGCGUAUAUUAAAGUUGUUGCAGUUAAAAAGCUCGUAGUUGAAUUUCGGGAUCAAUAUAUCGGUCGUGCCUUGGUACGUACUGGUAUCAUUGGUUUCUCCUUUCUGACGAACCAUGAUGUCAUUAAUUUGGUGUUAUGGGAAGUUAGGACUGUUACUUUGAAAAAAUUAGAGUGUUUAAAGCAGGCUUUAGCUUGAAUACAUUAGCAUGGAAUAAUGAAAUAGGACGUUCGAACCUAUUUUGUUGGUUUCUAGGAUCAACGUAAUGAUUAAUAGGGGUAGUUGGGGGCAUUAGUAUUCAAUUGUCAGAGGUGAAAUUCUUGGAUUUAUUGAAGACUAACUACUGCGAAAGCAUUUGCCAAGGAUGUUUUCAUUAAUCAAGAACGAAAGUUAGGGGAUCGAAGACGAUCAGAUACCGUCGUAGUCUUAACCAUAAACUAUGCCGACUAGGGAUCGGAUGAUGUUAAUUUUUUAAUGACUCAUUCGGCGCCUUAC
This 520-nucleotide ribosomal RNA is filed under the name uncultured Glomus. RNAcentral describes it as "SSU rRNA". It matches the Rfam family "Eukaryotic small subunit ribosomal RNA", at positions 569 to 1091 of the family's 1831-position model. Lineage: Eukaryota; Fungi; Glomeromycota; Glomeromycetes; Glomerales; Glomeraceae. The record is from RNAcentral.